This 1075-nucleotide ribosomal RNA is filed under the name Gardnerella vaginalis. RNAcentral describes it as "bacterial SSU rRNA". It matches the Rfam family "Bacterial small subunit ribosomal RNA", at positions 463 to 1533 of the family's 1533-position model. The record is from RNAcentral. Lineage: Bacteria; Bacillati; Actinomycetota; Actinomycetes; Bifidobacteriales; Bifidobacteriaceae.
UUUUGGGUGAGUGUACCUUUCGAAUAAGCGCCGGCUAACUACGUGCCAGCAGCCGCGGUAAUACGUAGGGCGCAAGCGUUAUCCGGAAUUAUUGGGCGUAAAGAGCUUGUAGGCGGUUCGUCGCGUCUGGUGUGAAAGCCCAUCGCUUAACGGUGGGUUUGCGCCGGGUACGGGCGGGCUAGAGUGCAGUAGGGGAGACUGGAAUUCUCGGUGUAACGGUGGAAUGUGUAGAUAUCGGGAAGAACACCAAUGGCGAAGGCAGGUCUCUGGGCUGUUACUGACGCUGAGAAGCGAAAGCGUGGGGAGCGAACAGGAUUAGAUACCCUGGUAGUCCACGCCGUAAACGGUGGACGCUGGAUGUGGGGCCCAUUCCACGGGUUCUGUGUCGGAGCUAACGCGUUAAGCGUCCCGCCUGGGGAGUACGGCCGCAAGGCUAAAACUCAAAGAAAUUGACGGGGGCCCGCACAAGCGGCGGAGCAUGCGGAUUAAUUCGAUGCAACGCGAAGAACCUUACCUGGGCUUGACAUGUGCCUGACGACUGCAGAGAUGUGGUUUCCUUUCGGGGCAGGUUCACAGGUGGUGCAUGGUCGUCGUCAGCUCGUGUCGUGAGAUGUUGGGUUAAGUCCCGCAACGAGCGCAACCCUCGCCCUGUGUUGCCAGCGGGUUAUGCCGGGAACUCACGGGGGACCGCCGGGGUUAACUCGGAGGAAGGUGGGGAUGACGUCAGAUCAUCAUGCCCCUUACGUCCAGGGCUUCACGCAUGCUACAAUGGCCAGUACAACGGGUUGCUUCAUGGUGACAUGGUGCUAAUCCCUUAAAACUGGUCUCAGUUCGGAUCGUAGUCUGCAACUCGACUACGUGAAGGCGGAGUCGCUAGUAAUCGCGAAUCAGCAACGUCGCGGUGAAUGCGUUCCCGGGCCUUGUACACACCGCCCGUCAAGUCAUGAAAGUGGGCAGCACCCGAAGCCGGUGGCCUAACCCUUUUGGGAUGGAGCCGUCUAAGGUGAGGCUCGUGAUUGGGACUAAGUCGUAACAAGGUAGCCGUACCGGAAGGUGCGGCUGGAUCACCUCCUUU